Molecule: ribosomal RNA, 322 nt
Filed under: uncultured eukaryote
Lineage: Eukaryota
Description: partial 18S ribosomal RNA
Rfam family: Eukaryotic small subunit ribosomal RNA
Source: RNAcentral
CCCUUAGAUGUUCUGGGCCGCACGCGUGCUACACUGAGUGGAUCAGCGGGUCAGGUUGCGCGAAAGUGUUUCCUAAUCUUGAAAUCCGCUCGUGAUGGGGAUUGACGGUUGCAAUUUUCCGUCAUGAACCAGGAAUACCUUGUAAGCGCGGGUCAUCAUCCCGCGCUGAAUACGUCCCUGCCCUUUGUACACACCGCCCGUCGCUCCUACCGAUUGAGUGGUCCGGUGAGGCUUUGGGAUCUGAGCGGAAAGAGCGUUUCGCUGUUUCUGCUCGGAAAACUCAGUCGAACCUUAUCAUUUAGAGGAAGGAGAAGUCGUAACA